UACAGAGGGUGCGAGCGUUAAUCGGAAUUACUGGGCGUAAAGCGUGCGUAGACGGUUUUGUAAGUCGGAUGUGAAAUCCCCGGGCUCAACCUGGGAAUUGCAUUCGAGACUGCAAGGCUUGGGUGCGGAAGAGGGAAGCGGAAUUUCCGGUGUAGCGGUGAAAUGCGUAGAUAUCGGAAGGAACAUCAGUGGCGAAAGCGGCUUCCUGGUCCAGCACCGACGUUCAGGCACGAAAGCGUGGGGAGCAAAC
RNAcentral lists this ribosomal RNA (250 nucleotides) under uncultured bacterium. RNAcentral describes it as "partial 16S ribosomal RNA". It matches the Rfam family "Bacterial small subunit ribosomal RNA", at positions 524 to 773 of the family's 1533-position model. The record is from RNAcentral.